GUCACUCAUUUCAUUCUACAAGCAUAACCGUGACAAGAUGCAAUGGGCAGCUCCUUUUCGCUGUCGCAUUCAAGGAGAUGCAGCAGUUGGUAGAGGUGUGACAAGACACAUCAUCUCAUCUGCCAUUACCAAACUGAAAAGGGGAUUUAAAAUGUACUUUGGAAAUGCUGCAGCGACUGC
This is a long non-coding RNA of Melanotaenia boesemani (Boeseman's rainbowfish), 180 nucleotides long. RefSeq lists it as uncharacterized. Lineage: Eukaryota; Metazoa; Chordata; Actinopteri; Atheriniformes; Melanotaeniidae. The record is from RefSeq and is a predicted model, not a curated record. The transcript has 3 exons.